RNAcentral lists this long non-coding RNA (238 nucleotides) under Nicotiana benthamiana. Its description in RNAcentral is "long non-coding RNA (NBEN_LNC033477)". The record is from RNAcentral. Lineage: Eukaryota; Viridiplantae; Streptophyta; Magnoliopsida; Solanales; Solanaceae.
AUGGAUUUAACAAGUGUGAAAGUGUGCCACCAUACUUCUCGAGACAUUUGGGAUGUAAAAGUACUACUACAUUUCAUUCUCUGGAGGUGAACUUAUGACGAAACAAAUAAGUAGGAAACUGCAACUCUUACUACAAUGUCUAGAAUACGGACAAUCUUAAAACAGGCCAACAUUGAACAGACUAUUGCCUCAACCUAUGAGACAGUAGAAGACUUCGUUACAUGAACCUCAACCAAUU